Molecule: transfer RNA, 84 nt
Filed under: bacterium
Lineage: Bacteria
Description: tRNA-Leu
Rfam family: tRNA
About the family: Transfer RNA (tRNA) molecules are approximately 80 nucleotides in length. Their secondary structure includes four short double-helical elements and three loops (D, anti-codon, and T loops).
Source: RNAcentral
GCCCCUCUGGCGAAAUUGGCAGACGCGCAAGGUUUAGGACCUUGUGAGAGAAAUCUCGUAGAGGUUCAAAUCCUCUGGGGGGCA